CUUUCUCUCUUUCAAAAUCAAACUCAAUAAACACAGAGGGAUACCGCAGCCUUAACAACCAAUUUCUAGGGUUUCUCCUGUAAAUUAAGGUUAUUAUGUAUAGAACAGCAGCGUCGCGACUUCGAGCUCUCAAGAGCCAUGUUGGAAAUUUGCGGGCCACACAUUAUGGAACUUCGAGUGUGGUUGCUUCUAGGACAUCCUCACCCGGGUUCUUUAGCUGGCUGACUGGGGAACACUCUACUUCUCUUCCUCCUUUAGAUUCCCCAAUUCAUGGUGUUCCCCUUCCACCUCCUCUACCAGAUUAUAUUGAACCAAGCAAGGUUAAGUCAAAGACUCUUGAAAAUGGUGUCAGGAUUGUCUCAGAAGCAUCACCGAACCCUGCAGCCUCCGUAGGGUUGUAUCUUGAUUGCGGUUCUAUCUAUGAGACACCCAUGUCAUGUGGGGCAACACACUUGCUUGAACGGAUGGCAUUUAAGAGCACUAGGAACCGGAGCCAUUUGCGCAUUGUCAGAGAAGUGGAGGCAAUUGGGGGCAGUGUUGCUGCUUCAGCCUCUCGGGAGCA
This 562-nucleotide unclassified non-coding RNA is filed under the name Hevea brasiliensis (rubber tree). The record is from RNAcentral. Lineage: Eukaryota; Viridiplantae; Streptophyta; Magnoliopsida; Malpighiales; Euphorbiaceae.